Oncorhynchus tshawytscha (Chinook salmon) is the source of this 4519-nucleotide long non-coding RNA. NCBI's taxonomy places the organism in Eukaryota, Metazoa, Chordata, Actinopteri, Salmoniformes, Salmonidae. The record is from Ensembl.
GGGGGACAGGCCAUGAAGAAGAAGACUGUCCCUCCCUUCGUCACUACCUUGGCUGAUCUCCCCACUCCGACUACUUGGAGCAGAAGAGCAGAUGUAAAGGCCUUGGGCAGGCUUUGAUAUUUCAGCUGUUCGUCUGCUAUGACCUGGACUAUGUCUAACAGACCUAGACUAGAGGUCAAUGGGAAUCAGAGGAGAAGGGACGGGUGAAAGAAAAAUGAAGGAACAAAAGAAACGAAAGACAGAACGACAGAGGCCCAUGUCCGAAUAUCCAUACUUGCAUUCUAAAUAGUAGACAUUUAAGGAACGGCGUGUUUGACAACAACUGAUAAUCAGCUGAUAAUGAGAAAAGGACAAAUCUGAGGGGGCACGUGCCACUGUGCCUCUUAUGGGCGUGAUGCCUCUGGCAGGGAUCAACGCCAUUAAACAGGAGAUGACACAUUCUCAGGAUGGUGGAGCCUAGUAUGUUGAUAUUUCUUGCCUACCGUAUUCGUUUUACCAAACAGUAUGCUUGAAAUUGUAUGCAGUAUGGUUUGUAAACAGCAUGUAGAAAUAAAAGAGAAAGAAAGAACAAACAAAUGAAAGAAAGAAAGAACAACCAAAGAAAGAAUGUUGAAGAUACCCUCCUCCCUCUCUCACUAGUCGCACCCCUGUGACGGCAGCAUCGGGAGAGAUUUAGGAGACACAGGACGCAUAGCGGCCUCAUUACGGACACCUUUGUCCAGUAUUGUGUUCUAUUACCUCUCCCUCCCCAGCAUUAAAACCAUUAGAAGCACCUAUAUCCUGCCACAGUCCGUAUUGGAACAUUACAUAUGCACACCUCUGUAGGACAGCGCUUUAAUGAGGAUGAAGGGAGACUAAUAGAGUUUCUUCUGUCCCCUUUUUAUGACAUAAAGUAUGGGCAAUAAUGAGCUGGGGGAGUGGAGACAGGGAAACAGCUCCCCUCAUCCCCGAGUCAAAGCCAACGUUUAUGAGAAGACUACAAGUAUGGCACAAUGAGAAAACUGAGGGUCUGAAAGCAUGUGAAUACCGAUAAAUAAAAGGUUGAGAAUGUCUCGAAAAUCUUCACCUGCCCUGUACAAAUGAUACACAGAAUUAUUUAGAGUAGGGUGGGUACAUGCUACUCACUCAAAGUGGUCGAGGGCUAAUCCUCAAAAUUCGGCUUAGUGUUCAAGCUCAACGAUUUCAAAAGACCAGUGAAAGCAAAACUUUGAGUGUGAGUGUGAGUGUGAGGUCAGAGCCAGUAUGCAGUGUAGUGACCGGCAGGGGAUGUUAAAACUGACUGUAGUCCAGAUACAACAGCUCCCUCUGCAGUCUCACCCCCUCUGAUUGAAAAUAUGCAAUAGAGAUACAUUUGCAAUGUAGAAUAUUUUCCAGUUCAUUUAAAAAAUAGUAUCAAUAAUAAAUAGAGAGCUCAAGAUCUAUUGUCUCAUAAAAUCAGUGGCCAGAACAAUGAUAAUACCAAAGCACACUAUAAGGUUAGCAGUUAAAGAAUAGACCACAGGGCAAUACCGCAGCAAUGGUAUUGUAUAAAUCCCUACAAGACAUACAAUUCUAUUCAACAAUCCUACAACUGUAAAUCAAGUGAAAUGGGAUGUACAUCCAUGGGACCAAUCUGAUAUCCUGACGGAGAAUCCAACAGCGUUUUAACUCUGCUACUUCACAUGACCGCUUACAAUGCUUUUCUGAAAACAUUCUUUUUCUUCUCAUUUGAAGUAGUACAGCUAAGCUCAAAUUUCUCUCCUCCCUUCAAGCGCAAAAUACAAAAAGCCUAGGCUGCCACUACCUGAUUCAAUCAUGUGUGCUACAAUGUAUACCCGUGGGCUACAGGGCGACUUGUAUUUGAAUGAAUAAUGUGAUACCCUUUUCUCAAUGGUUUAGGUUUGUGGUGUUCUGAGCUGCCUGUACUUUUUUUCUUCUUCUUGUAAACACUUUGAAGAAAACCCAAAUAUAUGCCAGGAAGCACAUUCUCCCUCAUGCAACUUGUAUGUGAUCUACAUUUUAACACCUUGUGCCCCCGACUCUUUUGUGACUAAAAGACGUAUCAGCAAACCGGAAGUCGUUUCUUUAACAGCAAAUUGUGUUCGCCUGUAAACUGACAACGGCGAUGAAUGAAAAUGCAAAAAGGUACAUUUGUCGAACAAUAUGCAGGCAUUCAGCGGCAAAGCCCAAGGAAAUGUUCCGUGGGAGGAAGAGGAGGGCGAGAAGAAGAAGUAGAAGGAGCAGAAGAAGAACAAGAAUAAUGGAAGGACCUAAAGGAAGGAUUUUUUUUUUUAAAGCAAGAAAAAGAAGGGUGGUGGAGGAGAAAAAGCCUAAGUACAGUACAUGCCAUAUACUACAUGGUGUGACUAACUUCAUGUUUGAGGCUAUUACCACAGAGACUUGGCUGUGGGUGCCAAGAUUUGAGGAAUAACAAGCACAGUGAAGGGUGAAAAAGCACGCUCGUGUGGAGAAGCUGACCCAGGAAGGAGCUCUGGGGGAACCCUGGGGGUUUAUGGGAGAUGGAGUGUAUUCAACCUUUCUCUCUCUUUCUCCAGUCUCACAGUACACCCACAACGGAUGUGACUUGUUUUACUGCUGAAGGAAUGACUCAUUUCAUAUCCUCUUAUCAAUGCAUGUGUGAUAAUGGGGAAAAUAUGCAGUAACCUACGAGUACAAAACGAUACAGACAAGGCGUUAAGACAGCGUGUGAAAAUAGAUGACGUUCUGUAACUUGAAUACAGGUAUUUGACUUUGAACAUGGCAUGCUCUCCUGCUCUCCACGUGAAAUAUCAAACAUUCUGUUCCUUACAGACCAAUAUCGGUUGAAGGAUACAGUUAUAACAUAGAAACAGAGCUCGUGUUAUAAUACAUCCGGAUGAGAAAUUCUAAAUUAUUUUUGAAAUCGUUCUUAUUUUCAACCCAAUCUGUGACAAAACAUUUUCAUUACCUUGGAUGAGCACGGCUCCCAGAGAAUCUAACGUGAUUAUUCCUGCCCUGGGAGAAGGGCUGUCUCCCUGCGCUCUGUCAAAAGGUCAAUUAUGGCCCCAAACCCCCAUGCAGUGACACUGACCUGGAAAGAGUACUGAUGACCCCACAUCCAGGAGCCCAAAAGAGUUGAUCAUCUAACAUGCACGCUGCCUGCAGCCAUGGAAAUCUGACAUUUGUCCUUAUUCAAAUGAACACAAACAAUAUGCAUCUCAGGCCUUUCCCUAACCUGUGCCAAACACAAGACAUGAGGACCAGCAAUCUGUUUCGCAAUGUCCUCCAUACAUGUUCUAGUCUUUCCUUCCGAAUAAAACCAACCCAUGCAAUCACACUGAUACAGACGAUACAUGGUGCCCGUUUUUACACUUUAGAUAUUAGGUUCUGGUUGGAUUUGCUUACAUCAGACAAUGUUAUGAGCAGGAUUGAAUAAGUAUUGAGUGCAACGUUAUUUUCACGUUAAUGUGGUAGCCUAUAAUAUACUACUAAUGGAAUGCACACUUGCAAGCACAGCACUCUCACGCUGUGGUGGGCUAAGUAUUGUACAGUACCACAUUUAGCUGGUAAUAAUGAAACAGAUAUAGUAGAGAGUGCUGGUGCCAUAAUACAGGUUUACACACAGUACAUUCCCUCUGAAUUGCGUUUGCCCGGAGCAUUACCUUCCACUGUAAAUUUUUAUCCAUGUAGACUUUCCAUCUCAUGCUGUUUGGUCUCUGUGCUGAAGGUAAAGGGGCGGCUGAUGACCGUAUGACACAGAGCAAGGGCUCUCAUGUCUUCAGGGCGUUUCACAGAGCAUGAUCAUGAAAUGCAGAAACAUGGAGCAGACGGUAAAAGGUUGAGCACGGGACCCAUAUUUCUCCGGGCACGUCAGUUAAUUUCCUUUCCUUUUUGUUCCACAUCACUUUUCUAUUAUGCUUUGGCCACAUUGGCAACAUCGUACAAAUCAUUAUUUUGCUCACAAAAUCUAAUCAUUACCCUCAAACGGAAAAAUGGAUAGCCAGUGAGGGGAAUGUGGGGGAAUUGUUAUUUUUCACAUUCUAAUUCACAUCACAAGGAACCCAAAAGAAACACAUAUAUCAGAUUGGUUUGGCGCCUUUCGCCCGCAGCGAUGCAGGACACACUGAUAUUAGUUUUAAAUACAGAUUGCUGGCAAUAACACAGCAGAGGGGUCCCUGUCUGGUACACAAACCACAGCCAGGAUUGCUUCACAUAGCCGCCUCUCUGUAAGUGAGACACCUUCAAUCAAAAAGCUCAAAUAAAUGUCGUUCUUUGGCUCUGUCAACUGUAAACUGUUAUUGAUCCCAACAAAUUAAAUUUGUUCACGCUGAUCGAUCAAACACAUUAUCUGUUAUUUUUUUCUUCAGUCUAUUACCAGCAAUUGGAAACUCAAGAGGCAUCAAUAAAUACAGCCGGGUCACCCAGGAUAGAUUCUCUAUGCAGCCAGAGGCCUGUAAAAACAGUAGACCAAACCUAAGCACUUGUACUUAAAAGGUAAUGGACCUGUAUCGUGACUAAACGUUAAGUGCCUUGAGGUAAGAUACAGGACGGAGCUUUGUGG